AGAGUUUGAUCCUGGCUCAGAAUCAACGCUGGCGGCGUGCCUAACACAUGCAAGUCGCACGAGAAAGGGGAGCAAUCCCUGAGUAAAGUGGCGCACGGGUGAGUAACACGUGAAUCAUCUACCUCCGAGUGGGGAAUAACCUAGAGAAAUCUGGGCUAAUACCGCAUAACACUUACGAGUCAAAGCAGCAAUGCGCUUGGAGAGGAGUUCGCGGCCGAUUAGCUAGUUGGCGGGGUAAUGGCCCACCAAGGCGAUGAUCGGUAUCCGGCCUGAGAGGGCGCACGGACACACUGGAACUGAAACACGGUCCAGACUCCUACGGGAGGCAGCAGUGGGGAAUUUUGCGCAAUGGGGGAAACCCUGACGCAGCAACGCCGCGUGGAGGAUGAAAUAUCUUGGUAUGUAAACUCCUUUCGAUGGGGAAGAUUAUGACGGUACCCAUAGAAGAAGCCCCGGCUAACUUCGUGCCAGCAGCCGCGGUAAUACGAGGGGGGCAAGCGUUGUUCGGAUUUAUUGGGCGUAAAGGGUGCGUAGGCGGUUUGGCAAGUCUUAUGUGAAAUCUUCGGGCUCAACCCGAAGCCUGCAUAAGAAACUGCCGGGCUUGAGUAUGGGAGAGGUGAGUGGAAUUUCCGGUGUAGCGGUGAAAUGCGUAGAUAUCGGAAGGAACACCUGUGGCGAAAGCGGCUCACUGGACCAUAACUGACGCUGAUGCACGAAAGCUAGGGGAGCAAACAGGAUUAGAUACCCUAGUAGUCC
Molecule: ribosomal RNA, 756 nt
Filed under: uncultured bacterium
Lineage: Bacteria
Description: bacterial SSU rRNA
Rfam family: Bacterial small subunit ribosomal RNA
Source: RNAcentral